AGUCUGUACAUAAAACGAAUAAUAACUAUUUGAACGAUAUGCGAGUAUUAUUUAAAGAAAACCUUUUAGAAUGCAUUUAGACAAAUAACAUAACAUUACUUAAUUUGUCCUUGCCAUUUCGCUUUAUCUUUUGGUCAUUUUUUCGCUACGCUAAUCUAAUGGAAAUGUAACGCGAAAAAAUUAUUAAAUAUGAUUUGAAUGAGUUUUGAAACAAAAUUGCUGCAACUUUCCAAAUUGAAAAAAUUAAAAUCCCUAACUCAUAUUUUUCCUAAUUAUAAUUCAAAAUCGAUGACAAAAUCAAAAUAGUUGAUUAGUACAAAUAUAGAAAAUAUACAUUGAUUGAAUGGAAACGGAAUGGAGCCAACAUAAAAAUAACAGAAUAAUAGAAAAAAUGGAAUUAAAACAAAUAGACUGACAGCGCGACGGGAAGCAAGGCAAUAGCAAAUCAUAUUAUGUGAACACUUAGAUGAAAACUUAGGCGAAAACUGGAUAGGCGCUAAUGACCAGGUAUCAAAAUUUGAGAAAGCUAUUAUCUGGAAAAGGAAAAAUAUCCAGGCUGUUUCAUUUAAAAUAAGAAGGUUGUUCUCACUGCAGAACUGGCAUCGCUUUUUUUGACAGUCAUCGCCUAUAUCACCAUUCCUAAGCAAUUCGGGGCAAUCAAAUAUUUCAAAAACUGCUGGAUAUAGGUGUACAUUAUAAAUAAAUAAAUAAAGAUAAAUUGGG
This is a long non-coding RNA of Cylas formicarius (sweet potato weevil), 723 nucleotides long. RefSeq lists it as uncharacterized. The transcript has 3 exons. Lineage: Eukaryota; Metazoa; Arthropoda; Insecta; Coleoptera; Brentidae. The record is from RefSeq and is a predicted model, not a curated record.